Molecule: ribosomal RNA, 781 nt
Filed under: uncultured Lactobacillus sp.
Lineage: Bacteria; Bacillati; Bacillota; Bacilli; Lactobacillales; Lactobacillaceae
Description: bacterial SSU rRNA
Rfam family: Bacterial small subunit ribosomal RNA
Source: RNAcentral
GACGAACGCGGGCGGCGUGCCUAAUACAUGCAAGUCGAGCGAGCGGAACUAACAGAUUUACUUCGGUAAUGACGUUAGGAAAGCGAGCGGCGGAUGGGUGAGUAACACGUGGGGAACCUGCCCCAUAGUCUGGGAUACCACUUGGAAACAGGUGCUAAUACCGGAUAAGAAAGCAGAUCGCAUGAUCAGCUUUUAAAAGGCGGCGUAAGCUGUCGCUAUGGGAUGGCCCCGCGGUGCAUUAGCUAGUUGGUAAGGUAAAGGCUUACCAAGGCGAUGAUGCAUAGCCGAGUUGAGAGACUGAUCGGCCACAUUGGGACUGAGACACGGCCCAAACUCCUACGGGAGGCAGCAGUAGGGAAUCUUCCACAAUGGACGCAAGUCUGAUGGAGCAACGCCGCGUGAGUGAAGAAGGUUUUCGGAUCGUAAAGCUCUGUUGUUGGUGAAGAAGGAUAGAGGUAGUAACUGGCCUUUAUUUGACGGUAAUCAACCAGAAAGUCACGGCUAACUACGUGCCAGCAGCCGCGGUAAUACGUAGGUGGCAAGCGUUGUCCGGAUUUAUUGGGCGUAAAGCGAGCGCAGGCGGAAGAAUAAGUCUGAUGUGAAAGCCCUCGGCUUAACCGAGGAACUGCAUCGGAAACUGUUUUUCUUGAGUGCAGAAGAGGAGAGUGGAACUCCAUGUGUAGCGGUGGAAUGCGUAGAUAUAUGGAAGAACACCAGUGGCGAAGGCGGCUCUCUGGUCUGCAACUGACGCUGAGGCUCGAAAGCAUGGGUAGCGAACAGG